This 3026-nucleotide long non-coding RNA is filed under the name Homo sapiens (human). RNAcentral's name for it is "HSALNT0363330". Lineage: Eukaryota; Metazoa; Chordata; Mammalia; Primates; Hominidae. The record is from RNAcentral.
ACGCUGAGUGUAUUUAUUUAUCUACGCGCCCUGGAGACCGGCCCCUAAAUUUAAAUAUCCAGCACGGGGCCUUGGCCCUCCUGGCCGUGGGUGGUUAUUGGGACGGGUCCUGGAGCCCUUCCAGGGCAGAGGAACCCAGAGCCCGGAGGUGGGAUGCCCCUGAGCCAGCAGCUGCCGAUAGCAACAAAAGGUGAGGAGGAGAUGGGAGCCAGGCACUCAUCCCAAUCCCAGAGACGCCAAGCGGAAGGGAAGAUGCUUCGGGCCCCACCGCAAGGCUGAGGGUUGGCCAAGCUGGGGGUGCACACAUGUGGAAGAACUGGAGGCCCAGUGCCAUGAGCAGAGGCUGUACCCUAGAUGCCCGCCCCAGUGCCAGCCAACCCAAGACAGGAGAAAGAGUUUGGCAGUUUCGCCUCUGAGGAAUACAUGCCUGGCCCUCCUGUGAGGUGAGGCGGUAGGGGGGAAGGCAUCCUGCAGCCACUGGUCACGGGCAUUGUGCGUCUGGGGCACAGUAAGGGGUGGCGGGUCAGGAGGCAGGCUGGCAUCGGGAGGCUCCUCGUCGUCAGACAGGCCCGCAUCCGGUGGGUAGGAGCUGUCCGAAUGGAGGGAGGAUGACAGGUCCUGGCAGAAGCUCAGGUCUUGGCACAGGUGUUUGUAGUCCUGGAUUGACUCGUACAGGCCCCACAGCUGGCACAACAAGGACAUGUCCAACUGCCGCAGCCCCACCUGCAGACAACUGAGGGUGGGCUGGAGUUGGGGUCCAGGCCACCCCAGCCCAGCCCCGCCCCCUGGAAUAGUGGGCCCCAGCCCAUCUUCCCCGCACCUUCCUAAACGAAGUUUUUGUGGACAUCAGGCACCACCUGCAAGCUAUGCAACUUUAGUCAUGACCCUCACCCAAAAAAUGGGGUUAUCCAUUUAGCCGGAUGAAAUGAAGUAACGUCAGCAAAACAUUUGAAAAUAUAUGGUAACUACUGCCAUAAUUGGUAACUAUCACUAAUUAUUGUUACCAUAACCCUUGCAACCCAACUGGUGCCUGCAAGUCCUCUGAGACCCAGGCCGCCUGUCCCAGUCCCCUGCGUUCCUCCGCGUCAGCCCCCCGCCCAGCUGGCCCGGCGCCCACCCACUCACCAUCUCCUUGCGCAGCGCGGCCAGCGCUGAGUCGAGGUUGACAGGACGACGCGGGCCGGCUGCGGGUCCCGCGUUGGCGGCGCCGGCGGCGUGGCGGGGCCCGUCCGGGGCGCGGGCGGCGCGGCUCAGCUCGUCGUGGAUGCGGCUGCGCUGGCUGUAGACGCGCUCCAGCUCCCGCCACGAGCCCCCGCUCGCAUUAAGGAGGCCGCUGAGGCCGCGCGGCAGCGGUGGGAGCCCGGCCAAAGCGCAGCCCGCCCCGCCCGGCGCCUCUGCCGAGGGCAGCCCGUUCAUGGCCGGGGCCGGCGCGGACGGCGAUGCCACCUCCUUCCCUCCAACGCUCCGCCCGGGCCGCCGCCCGCAGGCCCCGCACCCCGCGGCCCCGCCGGAGCCCAGCCGCCGCCCGCAGGCCUCGCUUUGUUCCUUCCCCAGCUCCUCAGACUCCGCCUCUGCCCCACCCCCUCUGGAUGGGCCGGGCCUCUCUUAAAAAGGCAACGGUUGUGGGACCACGUCGCGCAAAGCUGAGAAAAGGCAACGGGACAUCCACUCACUCAAGGGGAGAUGGAAAAAUGCGGCGGAGGGGGGAAAAGGCUGAAGGGGGCAGGCGUGGUUUCUUCACGGUUCUUUUUGCUACCCCGUCUCCCCGCCGCGCCCCGCCCCGCCCCCACACCCAAGGAAAAUGAUCUAACAGUGGAGUCAGGAGACUGGCAAGUCCACACUUGGUGCCUAACGUGCCACCUGACGCUGGGGUCACCACAAACUCCUGUCGGUGUCUGAGUACCUGGGGUGGGCAUGAGAUGGGAUAGGCUGAUAGGGUCAGGAUGCUCAGGGGAAGGAGGGGAAUCUAUCAAGGGGAUCGGAACACAAAACCUCACUUCCAGGUGGGGAAUGGACACCAGAUGGCGGAAGAGGCUGCAGAGGUGCUGCCAGAGACAAGGCUAGGGUCCACCCCUCUGGCUGCUACCUUUGAAAAGGCUAUGGCUUCUUCCUUAGAAAAGGGGCAUCACAUAGUCCUCUACCUACUCCCUCAUCCUGACUGGGGAAACUGAGAAGAAACAAGCUCAACUCAUCUCAGGGCGUCAAGGAGAGCAGAGUGGAGAGGUGAAGAGGCCAAAAGCUGGAAAAAGGUGAGUGGAGCUGGGGCUGGCAUGCACACUUGGAACCAGGAAAAAAACAAACCACACAGAGGAACAGCUGUUUUUCUAGAGGGUUUUUCUCAGGGGCUUCUCUUAGUGCUGUAGCUGCUGCAGGCUGCGCAGGGCCUCCGCACAUGCGCGGAUAAGGCCACACAGCUGGAUGCUAGUCUCCAGGGAGGUGCUAGAGCCCAGUUCAGCAGAGGCCCAGGUCAGCUUCUGCAAGAGGGCUGUCUGUGUGCAGGCCAUGACAUCUGUAUUUGGAGGCACAGCAGGAGCAGGUGGCCCCUGGGCUGCCUUGAGUCCUGCUGCAGCUCCCUCACAGUGCUCCGGACGAGGUACUGGGGGCUGGGGCGCAGGUCGAGAGCCCAGGGGGAGCUCUGAGGCUGAGGCCAGCUGGUGCUCCCGAGCUUGGGAGAGGGCAGCCUGGGCAUUCAGAGCUAAAAAGAGGAGAAAGUGGGUGGAAUGGUCAGGAUGCCUGGCCCACCUCAGCCCUGAGCCAUCUCCUUUUCUGCUCUGCUCUUUCUGUGCUUGAGGUGUUUUCCCUGUCCCUCUAUAAGGCAACUCAUCCACUUUCUACUUUGUAUCACAUUUAUGCCCUAGCUUCAAUUCUCCAUCAGUACUGGGCCUGGUUGAGCUCAGACUCUCGCGCAGUGGCUGGCACACAGGAGGUGCUUGGUGCUCUUAUUGAGUUAAGGGUCCUCUUUAGAGCCUAAAGGAGAAAUAAUUUUACUUCUACCCCACCCAGAGACUCCACUGUCACCUCUCAGC